CAGCCGCCGCGGUAAUACCGGCGGCCCGAGUGGCGGUCACUAUUAUUGGGCUUAAAGCGUCCGUAGCCGGGUUGGGAAGUCCUCCGGGAAAUCUGGCCGCUUAAAGGUCAGAAUGCCGGAGGAUACUCCCAGCCUAGGGAGCGGGAGAGGCCGAGGGGAUUCCCGGAGGAGGGGGGGAAUCCUAUAAUCCCGGGAGGACCACCUGUGGCGAAGGCGCUCGGCUGGAACGCGUCCGACGGUGAGGGACGAAGGCCAGGGGAGCAAACCGGAUUAGAUACCCGGGUAGUCCUGGCUGUAAACGAUGCGGACUUUGUGUCGGACAAGCUAUGAGCUUGUCCGGUGCCGGAGGGAAACCGUUAAGUCCGCCGCCUGGGGAGUACGGCCGCAAGGCUGAAACUUAAAGGAAUUGGCGGG
This 414-nucleotide ribosomal RNA is filed under the name uncultured microorganism. RNAcentral's name for it is "bacterial SSU rRNA". It matches the Rfam family "Archaeal small subunit ribosomal RNA", at positions 459 to 872 of the family's 1478-position model. The record is from RNAcentral.